This 467-nucleotide ribosomal RNA is filed under the name uncultured bacterium. RNAcentral describes it as "partial 16S ribosomal RNA". It matches the Rfam family "Bacterial small subunit ribosomal RNA", at positions 28 to 507 of the family's 1533-position model. The record is from RNAcentral.
GAUGAACGCUGGCGGCGUGCUUAACACAUGCAAGUCGAACGGCAAGGCCCAAGCUUGCUUGGGUACUCGAUUGGCGAACGGGUGAGUAACACGUGGGUGAUCUGCUCUGCACUUCGGGAUAAGCCUGGGAAACUGGGUCUAAUACCGUAUAGGAUCACUCCUUGGAUGUUGUGGUGGAAAGUUUGUUCGGUGUGGGAUGAGCUGGCGGCCUAUCAGCAUGUUGUUGUGGUCAUGGCCUACCAAGGCGACGACGGGUAGCCGGCCUGUGAGAGUGUACGGCGACACUGAGUCCGAGGUGCGGCCGAGACUGGUAAGGGAGGCAGCAGUGGGGAAUAUUGCACCAGGGGCGCCGGGCUGAUGCAGAGAGGCCGCGUGGGGGAUGACGGCCUUCGUGUUGUAGACAACUUUCACGAGAGAAGAAGCCUUUUGUGACGGUACCCGGAGAAGAAGCACCGGCUAACUACGUG